CCCAAAUUUUUGUGUGCUAUAGCCCAUGCCUUCCGCCUUGGGCCCGGAUGGAUCCGUCGUGGAAUCGCCUAAUAUUUGUCCCGGACAUCAAAUACGGCAUAAGAAACAAUUGUCACCGCCCCUCCAUGACCAAAUUACAUUUUUUGGCAUUUUACAACCAUAAAACUGCAAAUCCGCGCGAGUCCAAAAUUUUUGUAUGCUGUAGCCCAUGCCUUCCGCCUUGGGCCCGAAUAGAUCCGUUCUGGAAUAGCCUAAUAUUUGUCCCGGACAUCAAAUACAGCAUAAUAAAACCAUUGCCACCGCCUCGAAAUAACCAAAUUAUAUUUUUUGGCUAUUUGUAGCCAUAAAACUGCAAAUCCGCGCGAGUCCCAUAUUUUCGUGUGCUAUAAUCCAUGCCUUCCGCCUUGGGCCCGGAUGGAUCUGUCCUGGAAUAGCCUAAUAUUUGUCCCGAACAUCAAAUACGACCUAAGAAACCAUUGCCACCGCCCCGAAAUGACCAAAUUAUAUUUUUUGGCAUUUUACAGCCAUAAAACUGCAAAUCCGCGCGAGUCCCAAAUUUUUGUGUGCUAUAGUCCAUGCCUUCCGCCUUAGGCCCGGAUGGAUCCGUCCUGUAAUCGCCUAAUAUUUGUUCCGGACAUCAAAUAC
Molecule: long non-coding RNA, 645 nt
Filed under: Nicotiana tabacum (common tobacco)
Lineage: Eukaryota; Viridiplantae; Streptophyta; Magnoliopsida; Solanales; Solanaceae
Description: long non-coding RNA (NTAB_LNC002293)
Source: RNAcentral